GGCAACCGAGUUGUAAUUUGGAGACGGGACACUAGAGAGGAGGAAGGCGAUUAAGUGCCUUGGAACAGGCUGCCGUAGAGGGUGAGAGCCCCGUGAAUCGCUGGAGACCGAUCAAUUAGUGCCCGCCGAAGAGUCGAGUUGUUUGGGAAUGCAGCUCUAAGCGGGUGGUAUAUUCCAUCUAAGGCUAAAUAUUAGCGAGAGACCGAUAGCAAACAAGUACAGUGAUGGAAAGAUGAAAAGAACUUUGGAAAGAGAGUGAAAUAGUACGUGAAAUUGUUGAAAGGGAAGGGUAUUUGAUCCGACAUGGUGUUUAGCAGCGGCCCGUUCCUCGUGGAUGGGUGCACCUGGUUUACACUGGGCCAGCAUCGGUUCUGGGAGCCAUAUACGGGGUUCGUGAAUGUGGCCCUUCGAUUCUGUCGGAGGGUGUU
This 428-nucleotide ribosomal RNA is filed under the name uncultured Dekkera. RNAcentral describes it as "eukaryotic LSU rRNA". It matches the Rfam family "Eukaryotic large subunit ribosomal RNA", at positions 133 to 565 of the family's 3401-position model. The record is from RNAcentral. Lineage: Eukaryota; Fungi; Ascomycota; Saccharomycetes; Saccharomycetales; Saccharomycetaceae.